RNAcentral lists this ribosomal RNA (2903 nucleotides) under Escherichia coli DEC13B. Its description in RNAcentral is "bacterial LSU rRNA". It matches the Rfam family "Bacterial large subunit ribosomal RNA". The record is from RNAcentral. Lineage: Bacteria; Pseudomonadati; Pseudomonadota; Gammaproteobacteria; Enterobacterales; Enterobacteriaceae.
UAAGCGGCUAAGCGUACACGGUGGAUGCCCUGGCAGUCAGAGGCGAUGAAGGACGUGCUAAUCUGCGAUAAGCGUCGGUAAGGUGAUAUGAACCGUUAUAACCGGCGAUUUCCGAAUGGGGAAACCCAGUGUGAUUCGUCACACUAUCAUUAACUGAAUCCAUAGGUUAAUGAGGCGAACCGGGGGAACUGAAACAUCUAAGUACCCCGAGGAAAAGAAAUCAACCGAGAUUCCCCCAGUAGCGGCGAGCGAACGGGGAGCAGCCCAGAGCCUGAAUCAGUGUGUGUGUUAGUGGAAGCGUCUGGAAAGGCGCGCGAUACAGGGUGACAGCCCCGUACACAAAAAUGCACAUACUGUGAGCUCGAUGAGUAGGGCGGGACACGUGGUAUCCUGUCUGAAUAUGGGGGGACCAUCCUCCAAGGCUAAAUACUCCUGACUGACCGAUAGUGAACCAGUACCGUGAGGGAAAGGCGAAAAGAACCCCGGCGAGGGGAGUGAAAAAGAACCUGAAACCGUGUACGUACAAGCAGUGGGAGCACAGAGCAAUCUGUGUGACUGCGUACCUUUUGUAUAAUGGGUCAGCGACUUAUAUUCUGUAGCAAGGUUAACCGAAUAGGGGAGCCGAAGGGAAACCGAGUCUUAACUGGGCGUUAAGUUGCAGGGUAUAGACCCGAAACCCGGUGAUCUAGCCAUGGGCAGGUUGAAGGUUGGGUAACACUAACUGGAGGACCGAACCGACUAAUGUUGAAAAAUUAGCGGAUGACUUGUGGCUGGGGGUGAAAGGCCAAUCAAACCGGGAGAUAGCUGGUUCUCCCCGAAAGCUAUUUAGGUAGCGCCUCGUGAAUUCAUCUCCGGGGGUAGAGCACUGUUUCGGCAAGGGGGUCAUCCCGACUUACCAACCCGAUGCAAACUGCGAAUACCGGAGAAUGUUAUCACGGGAGACACACGGCGGGUGCUAACGUCCGUCGUGAAGAGGGAAACAACCCAGACCGCCAGCUAAGGUCCCAAAGUCAUGGUUAAGUGGGAAACGAUGUGGGAAGGCCCAGACAGCCAGGAUGUUGGCUUAGAAGCAGCCAUCAUUUAAAGAAAGCGUAAUAGCUCACUGGUCGAGUCGGCCUGCGCGGAAGAUGUAACGGGGCUAAACCAUGCACCGAAGCUGCGGCAGCGACGCUUAUGCGUUGUUGGGUAGGGGAGCGUUCUGUAAGCCUGCGAAGGUGUGCUGUGAGGCAUGCUGGAGGUAUCAGAAGUGCGAAUGCUGACAUAAGUAACGAUAAAGCGGGUGAAAAGCCCGCUCGCCGGAAGACCAAGGGUUCCUGUCCAACGUUAAUCGGGGCAGGGUGAGUCGACCCCUAAGGCGAGGCCGAAAGGCGUAGUCGAUGGGAAACAGGUUAAUAUUCCUGUACUUGGUGUUACUGCGAAGGGGGGACGGAGAAGGCUAUGUUGGCCGGGCGACGGUUGUCCCGGUUUAAGCGUGUAGGCUGGUUUUCCAGGCAAAUCCGGAAAAUCAAGGCUGAGGCGUGAUGACGAGGCACUACGGUGCUGAAGCAACAAAUGCCCUGCUUCCAGGAAAAGCCUCUAAGCAUCAGGUAACAUCAAAUCGUACCCCAAACCGACACAGGUGGUCAGGUAGAGAAUACCAAGGCGCUUGAGAGAACUCGGGUGAAGGAACUAGGCAAAAUGGUGCCGUAACUUCGGGAGAAGGCACGCUGAUAUGUAGGUGAAGUCCCUCGCGGAUGGAGCUGAAAUCAGUCGAAGAUACCAGCUGGCUGCAACUGUUUAAUUAAAAACACAGCACUGUGCAAACACGAAAGUGGACGUAUACGGUGUGACGCCUGCCCGGUGCCGGAAGGUUAAUUGAUGGGGUCAGCGCAAGCGAAGCUCUUGAUCGAAGCCCCGGUAAACGGCGGCCGUAACUAUAACGGUCCUAAGGUAGCGAAAUUCCUUGUCGGGUAAGUUCCGACCUGCACGAAUGGCGUAAUGAUGGCCAGGCUGUCUCCACCCGAGACUCAGUGAAAUUGAACUCGCUGUGAAGAUGCAGUGUACCCGCGGCAAGACGGAAAGACCCCGUGAACCUUUACUAUAGCUUGACACUGAACAUUGAGCCUUGAUGUGUAGGAUAGGUGGGAGGCUUUGAAGUGUGGACGCCAGUCUGCAUGGAGCCGACCUUGAAAUACCACCCUUUAAUGUUUGAUGUUCUAACGUGGACCCGUAAUCCGGGUUGCGGACAGUGUCUGGUGGGUAGUUUGACUGGGGCGGUCUCCUCCUAAAGAGUAACGGAGGAGCACGAAGGUUGGCUAAUCCUGGUCGGACAUCAGGAGGUUAGUGCAAUGGCAUAAGCCAGCUUGACUGCGAGCGUGACGGCGCGAGCAGGUGCGAAAGCAGGUCAUAGUGAUCCGGUGGUUCUGAAUGGAAGGGCCAUCGCUCAACGGAUAAAAGGUACUCCGGGGAUAACAGGCUGAUACCGCCCAAGAGUUCAUAUCGACGGCGGUGUUUGGCACCUCGAUGUCGGCUCAUCACAUCCUGGGGCUGAAGUAGGUCCCAAGGGUAUGGCUGUUCGCCAUUUAAAGUGGUACGCGAGCUGGGUUUAGAACGUCGUGAGACAGUUCGGUCCCUAUCUGCCGUGGGCGCUGGAGAAUUGAGGGGGGCUGCUCCUAGUACGAGAGGACCGGAGUGGACGCAUCACUGGUGUUCGGGUUGUCAUGCCAAUGGCACUGCCCGGUAGCUAAAUGCGGAAGAGAUAAGUGCUGAAAGCAUCUAAGCACGAAACUUGCCCCGAGAUGAGUUCUCCCUGACUCCUUGAGAGUCCUGAAGGAACGUUGAAGACGACGACGUUGAUAGGCCGGGUGUGUAAGCGCAGCGAUGCGUUGAGCUAACCUGUACUAAUGAACCGUGAGGCUUAACCU